This 525-nucleotide ribosomal RNA is filed under the name uncultured bacterium. Its description in RNAcentral is "bacterial SSU rRNA". It matches the Rfam family "Bacterial small subunit ribosomal RNA", at positions 791 to 1310 of the family's 1533-position model. The record is from RNAcentral.
UAGUCCACGCCCUAAACGAUGAGAACUAGCCGUUGGGAGCAUUUAAGCUCUUAGUGGCGCAGCUAACGCGUUAAGUUCUCCGCCUGGGGAGUACGGCCGCAAGGUUAAAACUCAAAGGAAUUGACGGGGCCCGCACAAGCGGUGGAGCAUGUGGUUUAAUUCGAUGCAACGCGAAGAACCUUACCUACCCUUGACAUUGACAGAAUCCUGGAGAGAUCCGGGAGUGCCUUCGGGCCUGGAAAACAGGUGCUGCAUGGCUGUCGUCAGCUCGUGUCGUGAGAUGUUGGGUUAAGUCCCGUAACGAGCGCAACCCUUAUCCUUAGUUGCCAGCACAUAAUGGUGGGAACUCUAGGGAGACUGCCGGUGACAAACCGGAGGAAGGUGGGGAUGACGUCAAGUCAUCAUGGCCCCUUAGGGGUAGGGGCUACACACGUGCUACAAUGGGACAGUACAGACGGUCGCGAACCCGCGAGGGGAAGCCAAUCUGACAAAGCUAGUUCGUAGUCCGGGAUCGGGAGUCUGCAA